AAGGAAAUGGCAGAUCGUCAUGCGGUUGACUUGAAAUUAACAUAAGGGGGUUCAAAUCCUCCUUUCCUUA
RNAcentral lists this transfer RNA (70 nucleotides) under Proteus anguinus (olm). RNAcentral describes it as "tRNA-Ser". It matches the Rfam family "tRNA". From Rfam's summary of the family: Transfer RNA (tRNA) molecules are approximately 80 nucleotides in length. Their secondary structure includes four short double-helical elements and three loops (D, anti-codon, and T loops). Lineage: Eukaryota; Metazoa; Chordata; Amphibia; Caudata; Proteidae. The record is from RNAcentral.